Molecule: ribosomal RNA, 467 nt
Filed under: uncultured bacterium
Lineage: Bacteria
Description: partial 16S ribosomal RNA
Rfam family: Bacterial small subunit ribosomal RNA
Source: RNAcentral
ACGAACGCUGGCGGCGUGCUUAACACGUGCAAGUCGAACGGUGAUGCUCCAGCUUGCUGGAGUGGAUCAGUGGCGAACGGGUGAGUAACACGUGAGCAACCUGCCCCAGACUCUGGAAUAAGCGCUGGAAACGGCGUCUAAUACUGGAUACGAAACUGGCCCGCAUGGGCAUGGUUUGGAAAGUUUUUCGGUUUGGGAUGGGCUCGCGGCCUAUCAGCUUGUUGGUGAGGUAAUGGCUCACCAAGGCGACGACGGGUAGCCGGCCUGAGAGGGCGACCGGCCACACUGGGACUGAGACACGGCCCAGACUCCUACGGGAGGCAGCAGUGGGGAAUAUUGCACAAUGGGCGAAAGCCUGAUGCAGCGACGCCGCGUGAGGGAUGACGGCCUUCGGGUUGUAAACCUCUUUCAGCAGGGAAGAAGCGAAAGUGACGGUACCUGCAGAAGAAGCACCGGCUAACUACGUG